CCGGGAGGGAGGUGGGGGGGUCAGCCCCCCGCCCGGCCAGCAGCCCCGUCCGGGAGGGAGGUGGGGAGGUCAGCCCCCCGCCCGGCCAGCCGCCCCGUCCGGGAGGGAGGUUGGGGGGUCACCCCCCGCCCGGCCAGCCGCCCCAUCCGGGAGGUGAGGGGCGCCUCUGCCCGGCCGCCCCUACUGGGAAGUGAGGAGCCCCUCUGCCCGGCCGCCACCCCGUCUGGGAGGUGUACCCAACAGCUCAUUGAGAACGGGCCAUGAUGACAAUGGCGGUUUUGUGGAAUAG
This 289-nucleotide long non-coding RNA is filed under the name Homo sapiens (human). RNAcentral's name for it is "HSALNT0313831". Lineage: Eukaryota; Metazoa; Chordata; Mammalia; Primates; Hominidae. The record is from RNAcentral.